CUGGAGAUGUAGCUGGUAGAGCACCCCUGGGUUCAACCCCCAGGACCCCGCCAAGAAAAGGACCUGGAGGUGGAAGAGAAGGUAAGGGGAGGGGGAGGGGAGAGGAGGGGAGGGGAGGGGAGGGGAGGGGACCAGGGACCUGAUUCCCUCUGUGGGAGGCUCAGGCAUAGACCUCCCCUGCCCUCUGGCAGACAGGGCCAGUGCAGCUGCCACUGGGAUCGGGUGCUGCCCUCUGCUGGCGGGGACCUGCCCCAGGGCUGGGAUGGGACCAGAAAGAACCCCAGAUCCACUGGGACAAAGAGCAAGAGGGAGGUUGGGGAGAGUCCCCUUCCUGUCUCAGUGACAAGCAGAAGUGCCCCCAACCCUGAGCCCCAGAGCCCUGCUGAAGGCGUGGGAAAGAGAUGUCUGGUGACUGAGAUGUCUCGCCAGAGGCCAGCAGCACCAUAGAGAUCCUCAUGCAGGGUGGCCCCCCAGGCCACGUCCCUGGGUCCCUCAGCUCCUCCUGAACAGCUCUAGGUGUAAAAGCAGAACCUCACACCUGACCCUGCAAGUGCCCAUCCUCCCCAGGCUCCUGUCCCCUGGCUUCCGUGUGAUGUGUUUGUGGAGACCUUAAAACAAAGCACUCCAGGGUCACACAGGACAUCAGACGCUUGGUGUUUACCAGGAAUUGGUCUUCUGGGCUGCUAACUGCCCAGUGGUGAAGCCCAAAGAGGAGGGAGCCAGCUGGCAGGGCCUGUGUCCGUCCUGCCCUUCCAGGGAAGCUGGGGGUCUGUGAAGCAUGGGUUGGAGCCCUGUCUGAUGCGGGGUCACCCAGGUGAUGACUGCUCAGGUCUGGCCCUCUGACGCCCUCCCCUGGCCACGAGGACAUCCUGCAGGCUCCCCCCACAGCCCGAGAGCUCUGCCUGUGGCUGAUGCACAGGCCUGGCUUUGGCCCCAGCUAUGAGGAUAGAGAUUCAGGGUCUGCUGUUGGUCAAGUGUCCCUUGAGAAGCCUCUGAGGCCUUGUCCAGCCCCAUGGCCUGGCGCCACCCAGAUGGCUGGCUUUCUCUCCAGGUCUGGCCCGCCUGAGCCACCACGGAGCUCUCCAGCAGUACGAGGCAGCAGCUUCAAGGACAGAAGUGCCCAGCCCCAUGCAGGACCCCGGGGCUGGGACCAGACAGCGCGACCGUGGGGUUCCACAGUAGGGACCUGGCAUGUCCCAAGCGCAACCUUGGGAAGCCCAGAGGCAUAAAUAAAGGAAAGCCCACGCGUGGGGGAGGACGCAGCUUUCUCAGCCAGGCCUGGGAACCGUAGCCUAACUGGACAGGCCCACACAGCUGCCAUCCCCGAGAAGCCAGCACACCCAGCAGCAGAGCUGGACCCUCCGCCUUCCCACAUCCACCAACUCCCCCUUAACAACAUGGCCCUUGCCCCAGUGUCCCCCAGGGUAGGCAUGGGAGGGACUGCAGGGGCCCAGUACUUCUGCCCACUGCCCAGGGCUUGCAGCUCUGGCCCCUGCCCGCACCAGAGCUCCUCCCUGUGCCCGGUGGAACCUGCCAGAACAAGCACACUCCAGCUGUCCUGUGUACAGCAGAGAGGCCCACUGCCCAAGCCAGGCAUGUGGUGCAGGAGGGCCUGCCAAACCACGGGCAGAGCUGACCUCAGCUCCCAGACUCCUGGGUUCAGGUCCCUUCACUCCCAGGGGGCUAGAAGUGCUCCCCUUGCUUACAAGCCCCAGACAGCCCUGCACCU
This 1729-nucleotide long non-coding RNA is filed under the name Marmota monax (woodchuck). Lineage: Eukaryota; Metazoa; Chordata; Mammalia; Rodentia; Sciuridae. The record is from RNAcentral.